GGGAUGUAACACGGGACUCUUGCAUCUUUCCUGUUGCAUCAGCCUUAAUGUUUAUUAAUUCUCUCUUAUUUAAAUUUUCUCUUGAAACAUAAUGGACAGUUUAUUUCUAGGGGAGAUUUUUGUACCAGUCAGUUAUGCUGCUCAGUGAAACAGGUAUUCAGGUUUCUCAGUGGGAGUUUGAGCCAAAGAAUAAAGAAUAUGCUGAAGAAUGCUUACAGCUAUUAGACCAUGGGCAGCAUGGACACCAUCUGAGCUCCUGAGCAAGAGGGUUCGUUUCCUUCCAGGACAUGGUGGUAGGUGAGGAAGAGGAGAAGGCAGGUCAGAUGUAGCUGCUGAAGUAGGUUCAGGACUUGUAGGUUGGUGAGAAAACUCAGAAGACUCAGGGAAGAUCAGGCAAAAACAGGUGAUGUUCCAGUUGACAGGACCCGGUGGAAAAUUAGGAGAUUAUUGUAAGCAGACAGAGUGGUGAAUCAAGGGAAGGUGCAUUAAUUUUUUCCUAUUGAUCUUCUGCUUUUGCCAAGCUGCCUGAAGCCAUAAAGAUGUACAACAGCUACUGGAGUAGCUCAGAGAACUACGGAGAAGCUGAACAGUCCAGCUUGGAAACCCACAGAAUCCCAAGUAGAGCCUGCCACUGAACUCUGCCACGUUCUGCAGCUCUGCCAUCGCACACCCUGCCCCAGUCACGUCAGCGUGUCUUCCCAGGCAAGUUUUUCCCAGGGAGAACCUGACCCACCCAGACCUCGCACACAUGCUGACCCGCGGGGCUGGGUGGAGACAUGGCUUCUGUGAAUGUAUUGGGGGCUAGAAAGUCAUGCCAACUGGAAUCAAGGACAGUGACACUCAAGAGCUAGGUGGGCAGGAGGGGACCAAAAGUGCAGGGCUUAAGCGACUGUACUGGGAUUGGGAAUGGGGCUUCAGACUGCAGGGACUAGAAACAGAAAAGGCUGGGGGAGCUGAGGAGCCAUCUGGAGGUGGUAUAGUGCAGGGUGGUGGCUCUCAAACUUUUUCAUCUAAGGACCUCUCCGCACUCUUAAAAAUUAUUAAGGCCCCACAGAGGGAACUUUAGCUAUCAAUGUUGACCUUAUUAGAAAUUAAGCCGGAGACGUUUUUAAGACACAGAACAUAUGUACACUCAUUCCGUAGUUGUCGGAGUGAUGGUGUCGCCUCUCUUCUGACAGCCUUGGACCACUGCCCUGCGUACUCCUGAGAGGGAGUGAAAAAGGCAAACGACAUCUUAGUGUGAUCAGGAAUGAGCUGUGACCCUGGAGGACCUCAGGAAGGAUUUUUCCCAGGGUUCCCAGAUACACUUGGGAAAUGAUGGCACAGUUGUUCAGAACCUGGCCUCCAGGGCCAGACUGCAGCAGGGAGACAGCAGGUUUCUCAGGCAAUGCCUCCAUUUCUUCAUAAAAUGAGGCAGUAGUGGUGCCUUCCUGACAGGGCAGCUGAGAGGAUAAGAGACAAUUCACAGGAGGGUCCCUGAGCGAGCCCGGCACAUUGUGUGUCAUCAGAACAUACAAUGUGGUUCUGAUGUGUGUGGUUCUGCUCAGUCCUUGCAUGACUGCCCCAAGGGCAGAGCCCAGACAGUCCGGGCCUUCAGAUCCCAGGGCUGCUGAGUGAACAGCCUCAGCUCCAAAGGUCAACGCAGGGGCUCCUGGCUCCAUGAGGGGUCCUCAUGCUGAGUCCACCUCUAUGAGAAGGCUCAGCCCCACCCAGGAGCCUGAGGGAUCUCACGACCCUGGUGGAUCUCCAAGGCUUUGAUCUCAGGAGAUACUGAAGUAACAGUCCUUGGAAAUGAGAUGCAGUCUGAUAUCUCAGCCAAGAUGAUUGUUAAAAAAAAAAAAAUGUUUUUAUGAUAUACAUGACCUGAAUUGCUGAGGUACCUCUUUCUUUGCCUUAAUCAAUAAAAAUGUGAAAUUGGGCCAAUUUAUGAAUAUUUCAUAUAUGUAACAAAUCUAACUUUUUAAUGAUCAAAAGUAAUCAGUUCAGUGGAGUCUCCAGAACCCAGGAGGCAGGCCGGGUGGCGGACACAAGCACACCACCCUAAGUGCUCAGUUCUGUUCCAACUGGCCCAAGGAUGUCAGACCCAGCUCCCUCCAAGGAGAGCCAGUGCUCCUCGGAGGCUGGGAUACACUGGACAGUCCCACCAGCAGGGCCUAGGAGCGCGUGGUGCUGGCCAAACUCGCACACAUGCAAAUGAUACCAGAGCCGUGCGCUCAGGCCAGGCAGACCCUCCAUCAAUACUGCCCUGAUAGGACGUGUUCCUUACUUGAAGAGACCACAGUAGGCUGAGAAGGUCAUGUCCAGAGCAUUACCUACAUAAAUAGGUAAACAAAGACAUUCAGACAACAGGGUUGUAUGAGCAAGGGGCACUUCCCUGUGUAACAGGGCAGGGUGGGGUUUGGCUGCCUGAGGUCCAGGAAGCGCCAACAGGCUUGCCUCCCUCCUGGUUUAGCUUUCUCCUCUUUUCUCCUGGGGACCCCACCCACCCACUCCCACGCAAGGCUCUCAGGACGUCUUACACUUUGGGGCUGUUCUUUCUCUCUGUGCCCAUUGCCGUGGGCCAGUCCUCACAGAGCAUUGGCAGUGUUUCCAGCACAGAGGCCCACAGAGUGGCCCCUGUUCAUUCCCUGCUUUUUGAGCCCUAUCUGCUGGCAUGAGUUACCUUGAGGCCCAUCCCUGCACAGCCGGAGAACCUAGAGCUGGAGGGCUGCAGAGGCCACCUCCUUCAGCUUCUUGGCAGACUGCAGAAAACAGAUGUGGAGGAGGAAAGGACUUUCUCCAUGGGCUAGGGAGUGAAGAACAAAGCACUUGCCCCCCCCCCCCCGUGUGUGUGUGUGUGUGUCUGUAUGUGUGUAUGUGUGUGUCUGUGUGUGUGUGUGUUUGUGUGUGUGUGUCUGUGUGUCUGUGUGUUUCUUCCUCUCAUCUGCCUUUUGCUCAACUAUGGAAGUCUUGGAGCAGGUAGGGAAGAUCCAUGUCCAGAGCAUUACCUACAUAAAUAGGAAAACAAAUACAUUUGGGAAGAUAGGAACAGUAUUUCUACUCUUGUAAGGCAAGCUGAUUUCUCUGCAGUUCUCUAGGUCUUGUGCCUGCUAAUCCAUAAGAAAGGGUUCUCUGAAGCCCAAGUUGUUAGCUGAUAAGGGAUUCAGGAGAUUUGUAUAAUAAGGGACUCUUAAAGGCCAAAAUGGCUCUCAAGACUCAAAGGACUGAAGUUAUGAAAGUGGAAAAUUAAACUGUGCUGCUGAGUUCCCCGGGCCUCCCUGAAGCCCAACACUGUGUUCUUUCUGUUUGGAGUGCAGGAGCCGGCCAGGACUCUGUUGAUGACCUGGAUCACACCUCUGUGUUACCAGUUCCCAGGAAGGCUCGCCCUGCUGUUAGGAGGCACAGGGUGUGAGAGCUCGGAGUCCAGAGCUUCUCGCUCAGGUUACUCUUGGGUUGAAGAGGCGAAGUGAUUUUCUCCAGUCACACACCACUUAGUGUUGGAAGCAGAGCCUUUGGAAGCUCUGGUGUCUCAGACCAGAACCCUCUAUACCAGUGGACCCCAUGCCUCUGACUAUGUGGAGCACUUCAAAGUCAAAGCUGUCACCUUGGACCUCAAGGGCACCUGAUCUUAACCAGGUAUGAUGGCAUGACCUUAGCCAGGUAUGAUGGCAUGCACCUGUGGUCCCAGCUACAGGGUAGGUUGAGGUGGGGGGAGGGGGUUGCCUGAGCUCAGAGUUUGGACGCCAGCCUGGGCAGAUUCUAGACCCUGUAGCUAGGAUAAGAUAAGUACAUAAAAAGAUCAAAGGCACCCAACCAUGAAUCAGUCUUUGGCGAUUCACUGCUGAAUCAACCACUCUGAUUUAGCCCUCAGUGUCAGUGGACACAAACACCCUCCUGCCCAAGUCAUCCUCUGCCCAAAAUUCUACAGGGUUUCUCUUGCCUAUUCACAUGUCUCGUCCUGUAUUACACAUGAGGGUCUGUCUCCCUGGAGUAAUGAUCUUGUUUAAACUUUUAGGGGAAAAAGACCACACCAUUAUGAUAGUGCCCCCCUUAUCUGCAGAGGUAUAUUUCAAAUUACUCCAUGAGAGCCUAAAACUGAGGACGGUACCAACAUCUAUAUAUACUCUGUUUUUUCAUAUGCAUGCCUACCUAUGGUAAAGUUGGACUUACAAAUUAGGCACAGUAAGAGAUUAACAACAGCAACUAAAACUAAACAGAACAACAUACCGUAAUCAAAGCUUGUACUUCAGGCCAUUCUUAGGUAAAAUAAGUUCCUUGAACUCAAGCAUUUCAAUACCGGGACUGAUGGUCUGAUAAGAAGUGACUACUAAGUGGAUGGGCAGUGCUUCCAUAGGGGUGUGCUAGACAACGGGGGACUCACGUUCGGGGCAUGAUGGAGAGCUGCAGGGCCACGUUUCUUCAGACCACUCAGAACAACAGCAAUAAACAACACAAACUUGUGAAACAUUAUUUCUUGAAACUUCCAUUUAAUAUUUUCAGACUGCAGUUGACUGUAGGUAACCAAAACCAUGGAAAAUGAAACUCUGGUGAGGAGGGACUACUGUAUUUUUAUUUUAACUAUGAAAAGAAGUAAAGCUUGAUUGAUCCUCUGAGAUAACACAGGCACAUGGCUCUUUCAGGCUACUGCCGCCCAAAAGUUCAAGUUCCUCUAACAUGGAGCACAAGGAAAGGGCAAAACUUGGCUGGUGAUGGUCAGCAAAGCCCUUCAUGAUUUGACCCUCACCUUCAUCACCUCCCUGCGCUCAGGGGCUCAAGGCCCUGCUAGAUGACCAGCGAUGUCCCACGCAGCCUGUGUGUUUCUGUGCCCACUGCUCGUGGGCACAUGGUUCCUGCUAACUUGGGGGUCUCCACUUGGGCAUGAUUGACAUUAGGGGCUGGGUGAGUCUCUAUUGGGGGCUUGUCCUGUCUAUUGAAACCACAUCCUUGCUGGUCUCCACUCACUUGAGGCCCAAAUUGACCUCAAGUCAUGACAAUCAAAAAAUGUCUCCAGUCACCACCACAUGUCCCCUGGGGGAGGGGGAGCUGCAAAUCGCCUAGUCAAUACCCACUGUUUUAAUGGAAUGAACUUCUGGAGCCCCUCCAUCUAGUGAUCCUACUCCUUUCCUGGCUCAAUCCAAACAUCACCCCUCUGGGAAGCCUUCUGGAAGUGCCCAGGCAGAACUAGAUGUCCUUGUUUCCACAGGACUUUGUAGAUGUGCCCCAGUUCUGUGCUUAUUCGUGGUGGUGCAAUUGUUUGCUCUGCCCCAUUAGACUAUGAACUCCAGGAGGUCAAGGAUUAUGACUCUGAAUCCACAUUCUUAACUUCCCAGCACUCAGCCAACAUCUGACAUAGAAGGAACUGAGUAAAUGUUGAAUGAAUGGGCCGUGUGCAACGUCAGGCUGACCCUCCCUGAGGAGUGACUCCUCCAAGACAUGUCAUGAUUAUUCUCAGUCACUGCCAGAAAUGGUCUCAGCCUCGUGAUCUCACUCAAUCCUUGUUUGAAUCAUUUCUUUGCCAAAGGAAUAACUCAGAUUUUCAUUUCUAGUCGCAGUGGUAUUAGACUCCUGAUAGAAACUGGGGAAACUGAGGCUCUGAGAGUUUCAUUUGCAAACGUAGCCUACUGGUGGCCUUGGGAGUAGACACCAGGGCAGAUCAACUGAAAACCCCAGUUCCUGCCCUACCUUUAGAUUCCAGAUUUUUAUUUUCAAGAGUGACUGUGAAAAAAGCAGCCAUUUAAAGUCCGAACAGCUUCCAUGUACAUCAGCAAGGGCUGCUGAUACCCGGCUGCAAUUUGUGACACUUCUUAUCAUUGCACCCAACAUCAAAUUCUACCAAAAUAUGGGAAAAAUCAUUUUGAUGUUUCAUUUGCAUAUCCAAGGAUUGGAGGAUGGUUUGUAUAAUCAAAUUAUGUCGAGUUGUAAAAGGGAGCAUGGUUUAAAUAGCUUACAAAAUUACUUUGAAGAUGCACAUUAAAAUCUAAAGAACCCAUCGCCUUCAAGAUCUUUACAAAAAGCUAAAUGCUAAUUGAUUAUGACAGCUUUGUCUUUACCACUGGCUGCAGUCAGUGUCACAGCCCGCAUAUCACUCUCUGCUCCCCUCCUCUUCCAGCCACAUUCAUUCCAAGCUCAAGUAACAGAUGGAAUUUUAUGCAUGACUGGCUUUCCCCCCCUCUCCCCAUAGUUGAUCAAAAGGAGCAGCCUAGAAAAAAAAAAUAAAAACUAGAAUUUGCUGAAAUUCUGAUUUCUUUCAGCAGUUUUAUAGAUUUUAUAACUUAUCUUUUAUUGACUAUGCAAGGUCUCUGGUCCCCAGCAUCUGUUUGUUGCAUCUGGGGAAAAAGAUAAAUUCCCCCUUUUUGAUACCACCAAGCCAAAAUUAACAGACAAACAGGAGUUAAUAGAAAAGGAGAGAAAUGUAUCCCUGUCCAUCCAGUGUCCUCUUUCCCAGUCUCUCUGUGGACAGGACAAAAGGAGGGAGAAUACGGGGCUCUUCCUACUUGUCGGGUUUACUAGCUUAGGGGUAAACAUCCUGAAGACGGGCGGAACCACCUAGAACAGGUCCUCUCCCAAGAGAAGACCUGGGAACUGUGGGGGACUUGGCCAUGAGCAUGGGUAAGGAGGCUACUUUGUAUACAUGGAAAAGAAAAGAAAAGAAACACUAAUCUACACAUCGUUUACAAUUUCUUAGACUUAAAGAAUUGUGCCUGGUCACCCAGAGACAUGAUUCCACAUCAUGGAGCUUCAUUAUAAUAAUGGCCCGGUCCUCCGACUUGUUUAAAACCUCAGCUGUUCGAUCCAGCCUCUGCAGCUCCAUAACUGUUCAUAAGAUUAAUAGACUCCGAUGCACAAUUGACUCUCCCACCGGGAGGGGAAAAAAAGAGAAUAAUCAGAGGCCGCACAGAAGUAGCAUCCCCAUAAGGAGGUGGUGUCUGUCCCAUUGAAGAGGUCAAGGGCAGGGGAGGAUUGCUAGCACAGCAGAGGAAGAGUCCUGGGGAGCGGAUGGGACACACCCCUGCCAUUUAGUCUUUAGUGGGCAACUAAAAAACAGCCUGAGUGUCUUGGCAGGGUCAUGCUCUGCAGCAGGGAGCAAGGUCAGAGCUGGAAGAGGCGGGACAGAGGAUCGGGCGCCUACCACACGAGCGUGGAAGGCCAGGGAAGGGGAAUCCUCAGAGGAACCGGAAGUGGUGGAGGCUCUGAUGGGUGGUGUCAGUGGAACUCAGAAGGACAGUGUGUGUCCCUGGCUGCUCCUUCCCAUUCUGGGGUUAUGGGUCACAGAGUGUCAUGCCAGGUCCCCCGGGUCUUUCAAAGAGAACAUGAGCUGGUAAGGGUGGCGGGGCAGGCCUCGGAGUGUCACCUUGAAGGUUAAAGGAAAUGAAGGACUUGGGUGAGUGGGGGGCAGAGCUGAGGCUCAGAGGCAGGCCCUGCUGACCACACAGAGCUGCAGAAGGGGUGUGCCUGGACCAGCAGAGCAGGGUGGGCGCCCUCACGCUGCAGACUUCGGACACGGUCCCUGCAUGCUUAGAGGGUCAUUUUAUAGAGCAGUCACUCGGGGGCCUGGCGACUUGAACACAGGACCAGGCCUGACCAAAAGGUGGGGUCAGCAGCAGACUGUCACGGCUAGCUGGCGGCACGCCCGCUCUCCUUUCACCCACGGCACCUCUCCUCUCGGCUUGUUCUAAUGUUCCAGAAAAAGACCGGUCUUAUGGGGGCGGGGGUUGGAGGAGCAAAAUUAGAAGAAGAGAUCGAAGCACAGAGGGCCUUCUUUUCUACCCCAAAUAGUGAGAGACCCACACCCCACACAUAAGGAAGAGAGAUGGGAGCUGAUCUUCCAUGGUCAUCAGAUUUGGGCUCCUUCCUCUUUGCCGUAAAUAACCGCUCUUAGCUGACAUCUGCUGCUGCUUCCCCACUGCCUGAAAAGCGCAGAGUGAUCGCAGAGAUCAGGCUCUAUCUCUGCUUCUGUUUUCCUUUGAACUGACCACCAAGUGACCCGGUGUGAAGGCAGGUCACGUCCUUGCUAAUGUGGCCAGAGUCACAUAUUUGCCUGAGGAAAGCCUGCUGCACCAGAGUGAAGGCAUGUCACAGGCUCCUGCGUGACAUGGGGGUGCUCCACCAUGAACCUUCUCCUGCAGAUUCCUGUGAGACUUGGCACCAUUUUAGAAGUGCAUUUUGCAUCAUGGAUAGAAGAGGCCAGGGUCUCAGAGUUGGCUCUAUCUGAAAGACCUCCUGGCCAGGUGAACUCCAGUUAGUCCUUUCUACCAUUUCAGGGCCAGACAAGCAGAGAGUGCCCAACAUCAGUUUAUUGUCUUCUAAGAACCACUGGUCUUCUUCAGAGAAGGGAAGAGUCCUUGCUGUACCUGGGUCUGCCAAGCGCUAAUCUGACAUGGCAGCGAGGAGCAGUUCAGCCCAGGCUGUCUUCCACCUCACAGGUUCGGAAUGCUGUCUGCUAGCGCAGGAGUCAAACAAUUCCCUGGCAGUAGAUUGCUUUGCACUUAGAGGUCUACUAAGUAAAUAGAAAUGUAAUUAACAGUGUGCUAUGGUGGAUGUAUCAGGUGGAAUUUCAUUAGAGCAGAAAGAACUGAGAGAAUCAGGAAGUCAUUUUUUGUCCACUGUCUGAUGAAUCUUUCAUGCUGUCUUUCUCUAGGAUGGGCACGUUAUCUCUGCUUGUCUUCAAGAAGAGAAAUUUCUGAACUUCCUAUUAUAUCUUCCCUUUGAUCAAGGGGAAAAGGAAAAAGAAAAGACAAAAAUCUCGAGUUUCUAGAAUCGGCCCCCAAAUAAAGAAUCCUUCUUACUUUUCCA
RNAcentral lists this long non-coding RNA (8772 nucleotides) under Marmota monax (woodchuck). The record is from RNAcentral. Lineage: Eukaryota; Metazoa; Chordata; Mammalia; Rodentia; Sciuridae.